RNAcentral lists this ribosomal RNA (207 nucleotides) under uncultured bacterium. RNAcentral's name for it is "partial 16S ribosomal RNA". It matches the Rfam family "Bacterial small subunit ribosomal RNA", at positions 568 to 774 of the family's 1533-position model. The record is from RNAcentral.
AGCGCAGGCGGAUAGGUCAGUCUAAAGUGGAAUCCCGGGGCUCAACCUCGGAACUGCUUCGGAUACUGCCUGUCUUGAGUUCGUGAGAGGAAAGCGGAAUUCAGGGUGUAGCGGUGAGAUGCUUAGAUAUCCUGAGGAACACCAAUGGCGAAGGCAGCUUUCUGGCGCGAUACUGACGCUGAGGCUCGAAAGCGUGGGGAGCGAACG